RNAcentral lists this long non-coding RNA (218 nucleotides) under Homo sapiens (human). Its description in RNAcentral is "non-protein coding lnc-FOXD4L6-1:13". Lineage: Eukaryota; Metazoa; Chordata; Mammalia; Primates; Hominidae. The record is from RNAcentral.
AGGUGGAGAUGAUAUUACUCACAAUAUGCUGAGUGCCACGUGCUGACGUCACUAAGAUCAAUACAGCAAACUCUGAAAGAUGGACAGAGAGACAGGAGAUGGUCCUUUAUAAUGCAGUGUGAUCUGUGCUGCAAUAGAGAUGGAAGAGUGUUCUGAUCGGCUGGAAAACAACGCACAUGGGAAGCUGUACAGAAAUGAGUGGGGAAAGUUUUGGAAGC